RNAcentral lists this long non-coding RNA (2170 nucleotides) under Cinara cedri. Lineage: Eukaryota; Metazoa; Arthropoda; Insecta; Hemiptera; Aphididae. The record is from RNAcentral.
ACAAAAGUACUUUUUAGAUUAUUAACGCCAUAUUUCAUAUAAAAGCACUUAAAAAAAAAAAAUAAAAACUUACAAUUUCUCUAUUUUAUUAUUUUAUAAAAACACGGACGACGUUCUCUACGAAAAUAUGUCGUCUAUGUAUUAAUCGAAAAAUCACAAUAUAACUUUUUUGAGGCCUUUUCUAUUUAGUUUCAAUUGGUAUCAACACCAGAUUUUUGAGUCACUUCUGAGCUUUUAAGGAAAUUUACUUUAGGAUAGAGUUUUUUAACGGAAAAAAAGCUUAAAUCCGAAAAAUAACAAUAUAGCCUUUUCGUGGCCUUUAUGAUUUACUUUCAAACGGUAUCAACUUCACUCAGAAGAGUCAUUCAUCAAGCAAAGAUAUAUCUGUUAGAAAAGAUAUACCAUUUUAUGACGAAAUAAAAUCACCCUGUGUAUUAUAUGUACCUAACUUUUCACUUAUAACGGAGGCCCCUCCUAUAUUUAGUACCACCUCUAUUAUUAAGAUUAAGUACAAAAUAUAAGAGUUUCAUUUAACUGUCUACAAUUAAAUUACUUUGCAUUUGUUUGCAGCCACUGUUGUUGUAGGUGGAAAAUUAGGAAUGUAAAAUUCAGACUGAAAUAUAAUGUAAAUCUGUAAGCAUCGAAAACCAUUGCUAUCGAAAAAACGAUUCUGAAAGAGGUUUACUGCAACUUCACUCAGAAGAGUCUUUCAUCAAGCAAUGAUAUAUCUGUAAGAAAAGAAAUACCAUUUUUUGACGAAAUGAAAUCACCCUGUGUAUUAUAUGUACCUAACUUUUCACUUAUAACGGAGGCCCCUCCUAUAUUAAGUACCACCUCUAUUAUUAGGAUUAAGUGCAAAAUAUAAGAAUUUCAUUUAACUGUCUUCAAUUAAAUUACUUUGUUUAUGUGAAAAUUUUCGUUUAAAAACAUGAAUUCUCAACAUUUCUGGAUAAUAGUUACGCUAACCAGGAAAAUUGGACAAUGUUAAUAGUUAUUUUUUAAAUAAAGUAGAAGUUUUUGUUAAAAUUCUGUGUAUUCCGGUAUGCAUUUAAAUAAUAUUCUCCCUGUUUUUCCCAUUCAUUAGUGUGCAUGCGUUAAUCAAGGCCUGGUGACAACAAAAUGUUUGUAGCUGACUUUUGAUCUAUUGAAUUUAUUAGUAGGGAUUUGACUAUAAUAAAAUAUAAUUUAAUUAUAUAAUAAUAUUAUUAACAAAAGUAUUUGUGUUACUUAUUACCAUUUGUAAUAACAAGUACUAGCUCCUAAUAAUAGGACGGUAUUACGGUUUUUGAAUUUUUUAGCAGGGAUUAUGGGAUUAGUCAUACGAACAACUAAUGACAAAGUAGAGAUUAUCUCAUCGACAUGCAAUCGCAAGCUAAUGGCAAAUUUUGCUCUCUUAUGUUUUAUUCAGUCAAUUUAACAAAAUGUAUUCAGUCGCGGGCAUAAAAGUCAAAAAACGGCCAAAGAAGUGGUGACUAAUAUUUUGGAUAUAUUUUGUAUUUUUGGAGCACCGGUUAUUUUACCAACCCACAUUGGGUGUCAAUACUACAGUACAAGUAUUAACGAUUUGAAAAUUAUGGAAAAGAUGAUGUUUGAAACCGUGAAUAUAAAAAAAUAAUAGAGAUAACAAUACUCAAGAGGUAAAUGAAUAAUGUUGUUCGAAAGCAACACAUUAAGCAUCUGCAACUACUGUUUAGGUUUUGAAAAAAAGGUAUUGUUGGAGCGAGUGAGCAAACUGUGUAUGCUUUUACUGGGCGAAUUCAGAGAAUUGAUUUAAUUUCGAUGCGAAUGGUGUACUUAAGCGUUCCGUGGUCUCUCACACCGACGACUCCCACUUCUCCAUGGUAGCUACGUGGGCGUGUCUAUGUGAGCGACACCCGUAAAAUAUAUUUUAAAUUGAUAUGUGUGCUAGUAGGAUGGUAACACUGUUUAAGAGAUACUUGUGAUAAACUCGUUUAUUAUACAAGCAUUAAAUAUUCAAUAUAUUACUUGGUAGUACAUGUCAAAAUAACAUUUAUAGAAACUGCAAAUCUAAUAUCUGCCAAUGUCGGUGAAGGAUACAAAAAGUGUUCAUGUAAAGAAAAAUGUAAUACCAAUCGGUGUAAGUGUAAAUCAUCUAGCAAUUUUUACAAUUCGAAAUGUCAUGGAAGCAUAACAUAUAAUAAUAAAGGAU